CCAAUUCAACCCCUAGCCUGGUAACUUCCAUAUGCUGUGGGUGUGGCUCUAAAAAGAAAAAAAAAAUUAUGUGAUGCAUCUGAAGUUGCUUUGCAGUUCAGACACUGCUUUUCUAUCCCAUUCCUAUGACUAUCUCUGACCUUGGUGGCCUUCUUUGUAUUUUAAAGUGACAUUAUACUUUUAUCAUUUUUACUCAGACUUAUAUAGAUUGCACAUUAAAGUCUCUGUCUAAUGUUUCUUCAGUUCCUUUCUGACCCCUGCCUUGCAGCUCCAGUGUUUUCCCCAGAACGGAGGACACUUUCAAAGGAAAUCUCUUGAGAAAUCCUCCUUCUUCCCUUAGAAUUUCUGAUGCUGGAGAGAUCUGAGAGUUCUCGGGAAAUGUUUAAAGUCACCAGCCAAGACUGGAGCAUGCAGGAUCUUGAUAACCCUCUUGGCAGUAGGCACCACAGCCGUCAUGGCUUACCUCGAUGCCAUGCCCUGUAUGCCACUGUCACCAGCCUUCCUCUGGGGAUCUUUUCACCAGACUGAAGAAGACAGCACCUACACAAAGACUGGUGUCAGUGCUGGAAAGCUGGAAAAGCUGCUUUGAAGGUGGUACUAAUAGGCGCUGGCUCCAGAUUUUGUUGAGAUGAUCAAGAGGAAGCCUAAUCCAAUGCCUCAUAUUGCUUUGGGAUUCCUUAUCCAAGGAGAUCCUUGGAGAGCUCCCAGAUGUGGCCGUCUGAAGAGUGUCACAUUGUCUACAGUUGUACCUGCCAGAGUGAGCCUUCCUCAGAGGGAGGACUAGCACUGGGAAGCGACGCCCCAAGAACUGUGGACCUGAGCCCUUGAGAAAGGAGCAAAGGGUAUCCCUGCGAAAGGCCUGGAGUGAAUUACAAAACCUUAGCUUGUAAAACUCCCACAUUCUCCUCCUUUUGCUGAGUUGAUGCUGAAAUACAAGAAAAAAUUGAACAGUGUGACCUAUUUCUUAUACUCUUAUUUCUAAACAGCCAACAUUUAUUAAUGAGUAAAGUGACAUUCUGUGUUAAAAUUGAAUUCUGUAUUGUUCCAUGUUACUCAUUUUAAAAGCAAACAUUUUCUACUGAUUCUUCUUUGUCAGACUCAAAGAAUGGCUUGCUGCCUUUGAUCCUCAAUUGAUAUUUCAGAUAGUAGACCUCUGCUGUAAAGGGGCCUAGAAAUUCACAUUUUCUAGAUCAUGUGUGCCCCACUCUACAAAAUUCUGCUUCAUGAGUAGAAUCUGUAUCAGAGGCUUUCAGAGACUCAGUAUUACUCUGUGGGUCAGCCAAACACAAGGGGAGAGUCUUGGCCAGGUAACCCUUAUAAUGGGAAGGCAGCUGCUAAACAAGCAUUGAAGGCCUGUUCUCUUCAGGUGCCCUGCACUCUCUUAUGUGAACCAAUCCAUGGCCCAUGAAUCACAGUGUUUGGAUUUCACCCUGGAACUCUUGACCACAUCUAGUUAGAUGGUCUUGAACUUUGGAUAGAAACCCUUGUCCACCCAACCACUUCUCCUCGUCAAACGAUGUGCUAAUCUCUCUUGAGAACUCCCAUCCCUGUUCUGUCUCCAUUCCAAUAAUUGAUUGGGAAUAGUGGGAGUAGGGAAAGGAAAAAUAAUAGUCUAGUCAUUCUCUUUUGUGGGCUGAGCCUAGAGCUCCCUUACCAGACUAAUGUCUCUCUUUUUGUCAAACAUUGGUAAUUAUGUGCACUGCUGGAUGCAUUAACAAGGCAGAAAGGUGACCCAACUUUGUACAAAAGUGAAAGAUGGAACCAAUGCCUCAGGACUCACUAAAAUGCUGACACAACUAGCCAGAGUUCUCCGUGAUCUAAAAUGCACUAGUACCUCAGGAAGCUGAGCAGAGAAUACCCAUUCUAGUCUGGAGUUCUAGACCUGUGUCACAGAGCUAUGGAACAGUCACAACGCUUUCUGGAGUGUGGGGAGGGGAAAAAUUAGGGAGGUGAGUCCAAUCCCUUUACCCACCAUCUAGCAGAUCCCAACAUGGCUCCUAGACCCCACCUGGUUUUUCCAUAUUCUACUAACAAAUUUUCUGCGUAUCAUAUAUAUACAGUACAUUUUAUAUGUGUAUAUAUAUGGCAUAAGUAAUGAGGUAUGUAUUUGCACACUUUUAUGCCUUUUGUGUAUAUUUACUCAUUUAGUCCUCAUUAUAAUCCUGUGAUCUAAGUACAAUUAUUGUCCCCGUAUUAAAUAUGAGGAAACUAAGGAGCGUAGAAGGUUACACUGAUAGUAAAUAGCAAAGCCAGUAUCCAAGCUGGGAGCUCUGGCUCCAGUGACAUCCUUUGCCAUAAAACUGUGCUGUGUAGAGUGUCAUGGCAAUCUGGAUCGAGAAUCUAAAUCAAUGCAAUUGGACAUUUGAGAAAAUACUGCUUACCUCCUUUUAGCACAUUGUAUGUGAUUUCAAACAUACUCUUAAUAUCCUUUCACUUGGAGUUCAGAACAUUGUGGGAAGGCAUGAGAUUCUCAGAGGAGGGACUUACCUGAGGGUCACAAAUUUCAAAGAGCAGAGACAGAUUUGAGCCCACAACAGAUUAGGGUGCGUUAAUUUCUUCUGCAUUUCCCAGAAGACAGGAGCUAUCUGAGGCCACGAGAGGUUAAAUGAGUAGCAGUGCCCUGUCUGCAGGCGCUCCAGGUCAACAUUCUACAUGUGGUUGUUGCUAAACUUGGAUAAAGUCCUAGUUAGUCCUUAUCUCUGUAUUGAAUGUUUAGGUGACACCUGACUGUCCAGAUUUCCUCAGAGAGUCUGGGUUCUUGACAACUCAUGCAGGUCCAGGCAGAUGCUACUAGAAGAUGAGAAUUAGGGAGAUGAAUGAACCGGAUGGUGAACAGGGCAGAGGCUCUCUGUGAAUUUGGGAAUCUGGUGACUUCCUUACAGCCCUCAGUAAACUUUGGAAAAGAUUGAACAGCAUCCACCUUGUGCUACGGGGCUUAAGGGUUUCCAUGAGCACAACUGGGUUCAAAUCCUAACUCUGCAGGUCACUUAAUGUACACCCUGGAUGGAUCAUUCUAUCUCUCAGGACCUUGCUUUCUUCAUUGGUAAAAUAGUAUUGACAGUUUUAUUGAAUAUGAUCAUCCAUUAUUUACCUUAUAUAUGGGACAAAAGUUGCCAUCUGUACAUUUAAUUUUCUUUCCUCUAUGUCCUUUCUUUGUCAAACUCUUCCCUUGAUACUGAU
Molecule: long non-coding RNA, 3180 nt
Organism: Phacochoerus africanus (Common warthog)
Lineage: Eukaryota; Metazoa; Chordata; Mammalia; Artiodactyla; Suidae
Exons: 5
Source: RefSeq, a predicted model, not a curated record